RNAcentral lists this long non-coding RNA (218 nucleotides) under Panax ginseng (ginseng). RNAcentral's name for it is "long non-coding RNA (PGIN_LNC010509)". The record is from RNAcentral. Lineage: Eukaryota; Viridiplantae; Streptophyta; Magnoliopsida; Apiales; Araliaceae.
UCAUCCUUGUUAAGUGAAGAUUUAGUCUGUUCAAGUCCUUCUUCAAAUCUGCUUCACUUCCACCUUCGUAGUCUCACUGCCACUGAGUAGGGGUGAAAACGAGUCGAAUCUCAGCGAAUACUCUAAUGCUCAGAUUCGGCUCGACUCAAAAAAAUUGUGCUCGAAUUCAACUCGAAUUCGAUAAGGAAUUUCUAAUUUUGCGCCAGAUUCGAUUCGGA